This 380-nucleotide ribosomal RNA is filed under the name uncultured eukaryote. Its description in RNAcentral is "partial 18S ribosomal RNA". It matches the Rfam family "Eukaryotic small subunit ribosomal RNA", at positions 592 to 976 of the family's 1831-position model. The record is from RNAcentral.
CAAUAGCGUAUAUUAAAGUUGUUGCAGUUAAAAAGCUCGUAGUUGGAUUUGUGGCUGUCCCGAGCGGCCUAACACUUAGUGUUAGUGUCAGCUUGGGUCGCCAUCCUUGGGUGGAACCUAUGUGGCAUUAGGUUGUCGUGUAGGGGAUGCCCAUCGUUUACUGUGAAAAAAUUAGAGUGUUCAAAGCAGGCUUAUGCCGUUGAAUAUAUUAGCAUGGAAUAAUAAGAUAGGACCUUGGUACUAUUUUGUUGGUUUGCGCACCAAGGUAAUGAUUAAUAGGGACAGUUGGGGGUAUUCGUAUUCCAUUGUCAGAGGUGAAAUUCUUGGAUUUUUGGAAGACGAACUACUGCGAAAGCAUUUACCAAGGAUGUUUUCAUUAA